GACGAACGCUGGCGGCGUGCCUAAUACAUGCAAGUUGAGCGCUGAAGGUUGGUACUUGUACCAACUGGAUGAGCAGCGAACGGGUGAGUAACGCGUGGGGAAUCUGCCUUUGAGCGGGGGACAACAUUUGGAAACGAAUGCUAAUACCGCAUAAAAACUUUAAACACAAGUUUUAAGUUUGAAAGAUGCAAUUGCAUCACUCAAAGAUGAUCCCGCGUUGUAUUAGCUAGUUGGUGAGGUAAAGGCUCACCAAGGCGAUGAUACAUAGCCGACCUGAGAGGGUGAUCGGCCACAUUGGGACUGAGACACGGCCCAAACUCCUACGGGAGGCAGCAGUAGGGAAUCUUCGGCAAUGGACGAAAGUCUGACCGAGCAACGCCGCGUGAGUGAAGAAGGUUGUCGGAUCGUAAAACUCUGUUGGUAGAGAAGAACGUUGGUGAGAGUGGAAAGCUCAUCAAGUGACGGUAACUACCGAGAAAGGGACGGCUAACUACGUG
RNAcentral lists this ribosomal RNA (497 nucleotides) under uncultured bacterium. Its description in RNAcentral is "partial 16S ribosomal RNA". It matches the Rfam family "Bacterial small subunit ribosomal RNA", at positions 28 to 507 of the family's 1533-position model. The record is from RNAcentral.